Passer domesticus (house sparrow) is the source of this 434-nucleotide long non-coding RNA. RefSeq lists it as uncharacterized. Lineage: Eukaryota; Metazoa; Chordata; Aves; Passeriformes; Passeridae. The transcript has 4 exons. The record is from RefSeq and is a predicted model, not a curated record.
CAGACCAAAAUUGUAACAUUCUCAGUAUUUGAAGGCAGAAGAACAUCAAGGAAAACUGUUGGAAAGGGACCUGUCAAAUACCAAACACAAAAUUCAAGGUAUCAGGAUAAGAAAAAGUUUUAUUUCUAUUUGUUACAAUUUCAAAGCAAAUAGCUCCACAGGGUUAAGAAAAGCAGCAACUUUUAAAUGGGAGGAGAAAACCCCAUAUCUGAUGGAGUGAAAUGUGUCAAAUCCAGUCCAGUUUCUGCCUUUUAAAAUACCAAAGGUGAAAACCAGGAAAUCUGUGGAUAACGUGGUCUAGAAACCCUUUUCAACAUCUACACUAUCAGGUGGAUUUUUGCUGGGAUAAACAACCUCAAGGGCUAGGACACUGGCACAGAAAAGCAGAUAAUAUCACUGGCUGUGAAGAAAAAGUGUGGCCAUAUGGCAGGCCC